AAACUUUCAACAACGGAUCUCUUGGUUCUCGCAUCGAUGAAGAACGCAGCGANAUGCGAUAAGUAAUGUGAAUUGCAGAAUUCAGUGAAUCAUCGAAUCUUUGUACGCACAUUGCGCCCCUUGGUAUUCCGAGGGGCAUGCCUGUUCGAGCGUCAUUA
RNAcentral lists this ribosomal RNA (158 nucleotides) under uncultured fungus. Its description in RNAcentral is "5.8S ribosomal RNA". It matches the Rfam family "5.8S ribosomal RNA". Rfam says of the family: 5.8S ribosomal RNA (5.8S rRNA) is a component of the large subunit of the eukaryotic ribosome. It is transcribed by RNA polymerase I as part of the 45S precursor that also contains 18S and 28S rRNA. Lineage: Eukaryota; Fungi. The record is from RNAcentral.